This 421-nucleotide long non-coding RNA is filed under the name Ananas comosus (pineapple). RNAcentral's name for it is "long non-coding RNA (ACOM_LNC011028)". The record is from RNAcentral. Lineage: Eukaryota; Viridiplantae; Streptophyta; Magnoliopsida; Poales; Bromeliaceae.
UUACAUUUUUAAAAUAAAGAGUAAACUUCAAAUACGGCCUAUGUGGUUUUGUACUUUUUUAUUUUCGUGUCUUAUGAUUUAAAAUAUAUAAAUUUAGUACCUUGUGAUUUUAUUUUUUCUUUUCAUCAACCCAUCUAUUAACUUUUUUAAAUUAUAUACAAAAAACUCUAGAUACCUUAUAUAUAGUUUAUCGAAUAUUCACUUUAGUAUCUUUUAGUUUUAACUUUGUCACUAAUUUAACAAAAAAAUUAGUAAAGAGGAUAACAAAAAGAAAAAAAUAAAACCAAGGAUACGAAAGUGAUACACUUUAAAACACAUAAUACUAAAAUGAAAAAGUACGAAACUAUAGAAAUAGUAUUUGAAGUUUUUUUUUAAAUAAAUAAUCAAGUUUGACAUAACAAAAGUAGAUGGAUUGUUGAUG